UACAGAGGUCUCAAGCGUUGUUCGGAUUCAUUGGGCGUAAAGGGUGCGUAGGUGGCAGGGUAAGUCGGAUGUGAAAUCCCGGGGCUCAACCUCGGAACUGCAUUCGAUACUGCUUUGCUUGAGUACUGGAGAGGAGAUUGGAAUUUACGGUGUAGCAGUGAAAUGCGUAGAUAUCGUAAGGAAGACCAGUGGCGAAGGCGGAUCUCUGGACAUUUCCUGACGCUGAGGCACGAAAGCCAGGGGAGCAAACGGG
RNAcentral lists this ribosomal RNA (253 nucleotides) under uncultured bacterium. Its description in RNAcentral is "partial 16S ribosomal RNA". It matches the Rfam family "Bacterial small subunit ribosomal RNA", at positions 524 to 776 of the family's 1533-position model. The record is from RNAcentral.